RNAcentral lists this transfer RNA (71 nucleotides) under Loxodonta africana (African savanna elephant). It matches the Rfam family "tRNA". From Rfam's summary of the family: Transfer RNA (tRNA) molecules are approximately 80 nucleotides in length. Their secondary structure includes four short double-helical elements and three loops (D, anti-codon, and T loops). Lineage: Eukaryota; Metazoa; Chordata; Mammalia; Proboscidea; Elephantidae. The record is from Rfam by way of RNAcentral.
ACACUGGUGGUUCAGUGGUAGAAUCCUCACCUCCCACAUGGGAGACCUGGGCUUGAUUCCCAACCAAUGCA